RNAcentral lists this unclassified non-coding RNA (89 nucleotides) under Pseudomonas trivialis. The record is from RNAcentral. Lineage: Bacteria; Pseudomonadati; Pseudomonadota; Gammaproteobacteria; Pseudomonadales; Pseudomonadaceae.
UGUGAGAGGGGGCUUGCUCCCGAUGGCGGUAUUUCAGCAGGCGAUUAUUUGACUGAUAGACCGCUAUCGGGAGCAAGCCCCCUCCCACA